CCUACGGGAGGCUGCAGUGAGGAAUAUUGGUCAAUGGCCGGAAGGCUGAACCAGCCAUGCCGCGUGCAGGUCAGUGCCCUAUGGGCGUUAAACUUCUUUUGUGCGGGAGCAAUAAUGGUCACGUGUGGCCAGACGAGAGUACCGUACGAAUAAGCAUCGGCUAACUCCGUGCCAGCAGCCGCGGUAAUACGGGGGAUGCAAGCGUUAUCCGGGUUUAUUGGGUUUAAAGGGUGCGUAGGCUGGGAGGUAAGUCAGCGGUGAAAUGCCCCCGCUCAACGGGUUGAAGUGCCAUUGAUACUGCCUGGCUGGAAGGCGGAUGCCGUGGGAGGAAUGUGUGGUGUAGCGGGGAAAGGCAUAGAUACCACACAGAAAACGGAUUGCGAAGGCAUCUCACGAAGCCGCGAUUGACGCUGAUGCACGAAAGCGGGGGUAUCAAACAGGAUUAGAUACCCGUGUAGU
RNAcentral lists this ribosomal RNA (459 nucleotides) under uncultured bacterium. RNAcentral's name for it is "partial 16S ribosomal RNA". It matches the Rfam family "Bacterial small subunit ribosomal RNA", at positions 338 to 794 of the family's 1533-position model. The record is from RNAcentral.